AUGCGAAGCAGCCCCUGGAUAACAUGACGUCAUGCAGAAAGCGUGGGAGCAACAGAUAGAUACUGUAGUCACGCCUAAACGAUUCCACUAGUGUCGGGUCUAUGACUAGUACGCAGCUAACGCGUGAAGUAGACCGCCUGGGCAGUACGUCGCAAGAUUAAAACUCAAAGGAAUGACGGGACCGCACAAGCGGUGGAUGAUGUGGAUUAAUCCGAUGCAACGCGAAAAACCUUACCUACCCUUGACAUGGAAGGAAUCCCGAAGAGAUUUGGGAGUGCUCGAAAGAGAACCUUUACACAGGUGCUGCAUGGCUGUCGUCAGCUCGUGUCGUGAGAUGUUGGGUUAAGUCCCGCAACGAGCGCAACCCUUGUCAUUAGUUGCUACGAAAGGGCACUCUAAUGAGACUGCCGGUGACAAACCGGAGGAAGGUGGGGAUGACGUCAAGUCCUCAUGGCCCUUAUGGGUAGGGCUUCACACGUCAUACAAUGGUACAUACAGAGGGCCGCCAACCCGCGAGGGGGAGCUAAUCCCAGAAAGUGUAUCGUAGUCCGGAUUGUAGUCUGCAACUCGACUACAUGAAGUUGGAAUCGCUAGUAAUCGCGGAUCAGCAUGUCGCGGUGAAUACGUUCCCGGGUCUUGUACACACCGCCCGUCACACCAUGGGAGCGGGUUCUGCCAGAAGUAGUUAGCUUAACCGCA
This 699-nucleotide ribosomal RNA is filed under the name uncultured Burkholderiaceae bacterium. RNAcentral's name for it is "bacterial SSU rRNA". It matches the Rfam family "Bacterial small subunit ribosomal RNA", at positions 713 to 1443 of the family's 1533-position model. Lineage: Bacteria; Pseudomonadati; Pseudomonadota; Betaproteobacteria; Burkholderiales; Burkholderiaceae. The record is from RNAcentral.